CGGGACCUGUAGAGGGUGACCGGCCACACUGGGACUGAGACACGGCCCAGACUCCUACGGGAGGCAGCAGUGGGGAAUAUUGCACAAUGGGCGAAAGCCUGAUGCAGCGACGCCGCGUGAGGGAUGACGGCCUUCGGGUUGUAAACCUCUUUCAGCAGGGACGAAGCGCAAGUGACGGUACCUGCAGAAGAAGCACCGGCUAACUACGUGCCAGCAGCCGCGGUAAUACGUAGGGUGCAAGCGUUGUCCGGAUUACUGGGCGUAAAGAGUCGUAGGCGGUUUGUCGCGUCGUUUGUGAAAACCAGCAGCUCACUGCUGGUUGCAGGCGAUACGGGCAGACUUGAGUAUGCAGGGGAGAUGGAUUCCUGUGAGCGUGAAUGCGAGUUCAGGAGGACACGUGGCGAGCGGUCUCUGGCAUACUGACGUGAG
Molecule: ribosomal RNA, 429 nt
Filed under: uncultured Rhodococcus sp.
Lineage: Bacteria; Bacillati; Actinomycetota; Actinomycetes; Mycobacteriales; Nocardiaceae
Description: bacterial SSU rRNA
Rfam family: Bacterial small subunit ribosomal RNA
Source: RNAcentral